RNAcentral lists this ribosomal RNA (466 nucleotides) under uncultured bacterium. RNAcentral describes it as "bacterial SSU rRNA". It matches the Rfam family "Bacterial small subunit ribosomal RNA", at positions 331 to 794 of the family's 1533-position model. The record is from RNAcentral.
CCAGACUCCUACGGGAGGCAGCAGUGAGGAAUAUUGGUCAAUGGUCGGGAGACUGAACCAGCCAAGCCGCGUGAGGGAUGAAGGUACAGAGUAUCGUAAACCUCUUUUGUCAGGGAACAAAGGCGGGGACGCGUCCCCGGAUGAGUGUACCUGAAGAAAAAGCAUCGGCUAACUCCGUGCCAGCAGCCGCGGUAAUACGGAGGAUGCGAGCGUUAUCCGGAUUUAUUGGGUUUAAAGGGUGCGCAGGCGGAAGAUCAAUCCGGCGUUAAAGUGGAGAGGCUCAACCUCUUCGAGCCGUUGAAACUGGUUUUCUUGAGUGAGCGAGAAGUAUGCGGAAUGCGUGGUGUAGCGGUGAAAUGCAUAGAUAUCACGCAGAACUCCGAUUGCGAAGGCAGCGUACCGGCGCCCAACUGACGCUGAAGCACGAAGGCGUGGGUAUCGAACAGGAUUAGAUACCCCCGUAAGU